RNAcentral lists this non-coding RNA (30 nucleotides) under Rattus norvegicus (Norway rat). Lineage: Eukaryota; Metazoa; Chordata; Mammalia; Rodentia; Muridae. The record is from RNAcentral.
UUGGAUUUCACACUUUCCUAGGGGCUGUUC